Molecule: ribosomal RNA, 549 nt
Filed under: fungal endophyte
Lineage: Eukaryota; Fungi
Description: eukaryotic LSU rRNA
Rfam family: 5.8S ribosomal RNA (bases 181-334)
Source: RNAcentral
AUUAAAGAGUUCUAUAACUCCCAAACCCAUGUGAACAUACCUAACGUUGCCUCGGCAGGUCGCACCUACCUUGUAGCACCCUACCCUGUAGGGCCUACCCGGGAGAUGCGGGUAAGCCUGCCGGCGGCCCACCAACCUCUGUUUGAUAUUGAAUUCUGAACAUAUAACUAAAUAAGUUAAAACUUUCAACAACGGAUCUCUUGGUUCUGGCAUCGAUGAAGAACGCAGCGAAAUGCGAUAAGUAAUGUGAAUUGCAGAAUUCAGUGAAUCAUCGAAUCUUUGAACGCAUAUUGCGCCCAUUAGUAUUCUAGUGGGCAGGACCGUUCGAGCGUCAUUUCGACCCUUAAGCCUUAGUUGCUUAGUGUUGGGAGCCUACGGCAACGUAGCUCCUCAAAGUUAGUGGCGGAGUUGGUUCACACUCUAGACGUAGUAAUUUUUUAUCUCGCCUAUUAGUUGGACUGAUCCCCUGCCGUAAAACCCCCAACUUAUCAAGGUUGACCUCGAAUCGGUUCAGACAAACUCGCUAAAUUGAAGCAUCUUAGUCAGCGA